Molecule: long non-coding RNA, 1673 nt
Filed under: Paramuricea clavata
Lineage: Eukaryota; Metazoa; Cnidaria; Anthozoa; Malacalcyonacea; Plexauridae
Source: RNAcentral
CCUGAAUAACAAAGCGUUAAAAUGUAUGUAAAACAUAAUAAGUACCAUACCGGUAUAUAUAUAUAUAUAUAUAUAUAUAUAUAUAUAUAUAUAUAUAUAUAUAUAUAUAUAUAUAUAUAUAUAUAUAUAUAUAUAUAUAUAUAUACGAACUAUAAACUUCCGAAGCUUAUCCUUUACACUUCGGACUGCGGCAUGUUUAAUAUAUUUUCCAAACUUUUCAGUAUUCUAUAAAUACACACUGCAAUUAAAAUAUUAAAUUAUUCUAUAAAUACACACUGCCUUGUAGUUAUAACUUUUCUAGUUUGUUCCAAAGACAAAGUCAUAUAUUAAUAGCUAAAGAUUAAUGAAUAAUGGGUAAAUAUUAUUAAGAUUUCGGGCCGAUCUCGCUUGGUAGAACUAACAGUUGAAUGGUUUUUGUAGAUGGAAUUUCGCGAGCGGCAGAUUAUGCAUACAAUUUUUGUCAUUUGACCUAAAAUUUCGGUCUUAAAAUUAAACCUAAAAUUUCGACUAAUUUUUACCUAAUUUUUAGGUCUAAAAAUCUUCCACUCGGAAUUUCCAUGUAUGAAAAACCUUUAGGCUUUACAUUUAAUAAUAAUGGUAAUUCAUAUCAAUAGACAAUACUCACAGCAAGGCAAUAUUCAUGUCUUGCCAUAUUUGGCAUAUGGCAUAUUGUAAUAUUUACACAAACUUUAUACAAUUAAACUGCUUUCAUCUUUUCUGGCUGAAAGUAAAACAAAGUUUUCUUAUCAUGUAAGUAAGUUCAGCAUGUUUAUAAUGUUUCUUACAGAUAUCGUGUGUCCUCGGUUGCCAAUUUCGCCGGCGUAUCAUAGUAGACGGCUGAUCGUUCUGAGUUAUACGUCCGCUUGUCCAAACAGCUGUGUCAGAAUUAUAAUCACGCGUUACGAUAUAUCUUGCGGUUUGAAAUAUGCGGCUAAAAUAUCCCCUACUGUACUGUUCAAGGAGACAUAAUCCAUAUAAAUAUCACCAACAUAGCGACUGUGUAAUUCCCCCAAAACAGGGCAAUAAUGAAUGUUAGUACCGUGAUAGAUACAGCGAUGAAAGCACCAACGAUCACAUCAGUCGGUUUUGAUCUCAGGAUAUUCUCGAUUGUAUCCAUAAGGAAGAAUUCUUGUGCUUUACGUCGUAAAGACUGAGCAGCAUGUUGCGAUGUACGACGAUUGUCCUUCAUUUUGUCCUUUAUUUAAGAAAUAUCGUAAGUCGUAAUUGAAAUUCACUUGAUACUUGACGCUGAUGAUCUCACACGACAUAGAGUACUUGAGCACCGCCAAUGCUUUGCAUAACAAUCGAGACAAAUAAUUAAAAUGCUAAUAUAUUGAUGUAUAUACACGAUACCCAAGCGAAACUAGAAAUUGAAAACACGAAUUUCUCGUGUGAUAUUUUUUGCACCGGCACUGGAGCCGGUAGUCGAGCAGACUAGGAGGAUCUAAUGAUACUCUAAUGACUGACCGCAACUGAAGCUUAAAAUAUCGCUGAAUUUCAAUUAAUUAAAGAGAGCUGCGUUGACAUGAGAGUGUCAGCUAAAUAUAGGCAUAGAGUAAAAUUGGCAGCGUAACCAGCGUGCCAGCGUUGUGUAAAAAAUAAAAUAUUGAAUCCCCACUAAGCGCGUCAUUCAAUUCAAUUCAGUUGCAACCAUUUUCGACUGACAUCACCCG